This 5635-nucleotide long non-coding RNA is filed under the name Sus scrofa (pig). RNAcentral's name for it is "lncRNA (ENSSSCG00060043051.1)". The record is from RNAcentral. Lineage: Eukaryota; Metazoa; Chordata; Mammalia; Artiodactyla; Suidae.
CAGAAGUAUUUUUUUUUUUUUUGUUUCAUUUUUUUUUUUCUUUUUAGGGCCAAACCUGUGGCACAUGGAAGUUCCCAGGCUAGAGGUCAAAUCAGAGCCACAGUUGUCAGCCUACAUCACAGCCACAGCAACACAAGAUCCAAGCUGCCUUUGUGACCUGUGCCACAGCUCACGGCAAUGUUAGAUGCUUAACCCACUGAGCAAGGCCAGGAAUCAAACCCUCAUCCUCACAGACACUACAUUGGGUUCCUAACCCACUGAACUACAAUGGGAACUCUGAGUUUCAAUUUUUUGCUUCCAAGGUUAUUCUUAAAUUUGUAUGACAUUGCAUCAUUUUCAAAAAUCCCUAUCAGAGGAGAUACCCUAUAUUAAAUUGUCUUUGGGUAAUAAAACACAUUUUGAAAUCAAAGUGAGCUGAGAGAUGUUCCUCAGAUGUCUUCUGAUUUAGAAACUAGGGAAGCAAUAUAGAUUACAGGGAAUUUUGGGGAUAAUACUUCUGGGAAGAAACUCAAGGAUAAGAUAAAUAAGAACUGGACUUGGGUGUACAAAGACACAAUAGGUCUUUAAUACUUUGUCAUGUUAAUUUAUUUAAUAAAUAUUUGGUGAACUCUCACUAGGUUCCAGGCCCUGUGUAGGCACACAUGUUUUCUGGUAUUUAAGAGGAUAAGAAUAUGUCUUGUAGUUAAUAGUAUAAAUGAAUGAAUGAUGCAAUAUAUAUGUAGCAAAUCACAAUAACUUUUCUUUUGUUGAUUGUGGCAUGAAGAUAAAUUCUUUCUAUAAAUGUAUUAGAAAUUGGAUUGUUGGUCAAAUAUAAACCACUGCUUGAUUUGUUAACAUUUAAGAAUAACAUUUGUUAUUCACUAUUUUCCUGAGAUCACUUUCAAUUUUAAGUGUCAAAAUGAAGAGAAGCACAUUGUCAUUUUUACAAAAUAAUAUUUUAAAAAACAGAGUUAAGACCUUCUGAUGAAUUUGUCAUGAAAUUCUUGUCAGAGAGACUUUGACAGUUUUGUUUCAAUAAUUAAAAACAUAUUUGCUCUGAGUAUAAGCCUCUGAGAAUAUGUUUAAAAGAACAGUUUCACUUGGGUUGAGUAAGCAGCUAUAUGGACAGGAUGUAAAUAUGCCAUCCAGCUUUGUUGUAUAGUAGAUGAGCCAGUUACUAGAAUUAUGUGUGUUUUCAGACCUACUAAUCUCUGAGCAUAAUACAGUCUCCAUGAUAACUACUUAAAAUUCUGAUGUGAACAAUGCUUAUCAUCACUUUCCACCCAAUAGUGUUAUCUCUUAACAUAUUGGGAUGGGUUCUUUUAUUAUAAAUAGAAAUUCCACUGCUUUACUUCUAUUCCAUUUAACUUCAUUCUCUGCACCUUUGAGUUUACACUGCUUUUUUGGUUUAUUUUGUUGUUGUUUAAAUAUAAUUGAGAUAGAGGCUAUGUUUUAAGUAAAUUAACCAAGUAGUUUAUAACUAUUGCUCUUGGUGGUACUUCAGUUUUGUUUUGUUUUUGUUUUUUUUUGGCUCAUAUCUCACAUUAUUCUCUUUAUAAUAUUUUCUUUAGGUACUUUAUAUUUUAUCUGUCUUUUGCUGAGCUAUGGACUUAGUGUUACUGAUACUCAGAUCAAAAUAAUCUUUGCAGAACUCUCUUAGUUUUCUCUAUCAUUGCCUUGUAGGACCUCUAUUUAGAUGGUGCACAUAUCUCCACAAGUCCAAAAUUAAAGCCAUUACCUUCUUACAAAUUUAUCAAAAUAGUGCUUCUUCCAGUUCUUCCCUAUUUUGAUUUACAGCCCAAGAAAAAUCCAUGGGUCACAAGGCAAAAUUCUGGAAAUCAAUCAUCUUAGUAAGGAUGCCAAUUUAUAAGGUAGUUAUAAGAUAUAUCAAAUGAUAAACCUCUCAAAUUUGAUAGCUUAAUUUAACACAAUUUAUUUCUCACUCUCAUCACAAUAAAAAAACAGGUAUUAGUCCCAGUUAGUUGCCCUCCUGCAAUAAUGAUUCAGAAAUGCAGAUUCCUUAUCUUUCACUCCAAAUUUAACCUUUGGCUCCUAAGGUCACUGUUGGUGUCACCUCCACACAGGAAGUCAACAGAUGUAGAAUGCAUAAAAGCUACUUUACUCUUCAGUAGCUUUUAUGACUAGGCCUAGAAGAGCAUUCAACUUUUCUGCCAUAAUUUUAUUAACUAGAUCUCUGUUCAUGGCAUUGCAAAAUGUAGGCACCUGUGUGUCCAGAAGGAAAAUAAAAUGGGUUUUGGUGAUUACAUAGAAGUAUCUAUUCCAUCAUCAUAGAGUCUUCUCCAAAAUUUCCCCAAGCCAUUUCAAAAUGUCUUUAUCAAUCUUUAGGUGCCUGGCUCAUUCAUUCACUUGCUCUCUCUUUCUCUCUCCCUGCUCUUAACAACUGCAUUGGGCUUUUAAUUGGUCUGUAAAAUAGAAUGAUAAUUGUGUCAAAUUUUCAAGUUAUUUUAAGGAGUAAAGAUGAUCCAUAUAACAUUCCUUGCAUAUAAUAAUGUUUAAUAGAUGGUAGCUAUUUAUCAAUUACAGAUUCUAUAUCAUUUGGUUCCCAUGUGGACGAAGAGAAGCUUAAAGACAUUGUGCAUGUUUCAUCAACUUUGUAUCCAGACACCUACUUUAUAAGAUUUAAAGAUUCUUUUGAUAGCAGACACAACAAAAUGACACUAAGAUAGGUCAAAGGGAUGUUAAUUACACAUCUCCAAACAAAGAAGGUUGCCAAGCAAGGCCACACAGGCACUUGCACCUGAGACCUGAACAAAAGCAGUCUCCCCUAGGGGGAAGCUUAUAUAUAUCAAGAGGGCCUUGUGGUUGCCAAAGGGGAUGGUGGGGGUGGGGGUUGUAGGAGACAGAUAAAUUAGGAGCUUGGGAUUAACAUAUAUGUAGAUAAAUUAGGAGUUACAGGAUUAGCAUAUAAACAACAAGGUCCUGCUGUAUAGCACAAGGAACUAAACAAUAUCUUGAAAUAACCUAUAAUGGAAAAGAAUCUGAAAAAAAGUAUGUGUAUAUAUAUUCAUAUCUAUAUAUGAAUCACUUUGCUGUAUACUUGAAAUUAGCACAACAUUGAAAAUUAACUAUACUUCAUUUAAAAAAUUAAAUACUGACUGCAUUAUUGUUUUAAAAAAAGUACGGGGUUAGCUAGGUUUAAAGGGAUUGGACUAUUUUGAAUUAACCUCUCUCUUCCCUUUCCCUUUCUCCCUCCCUCUCAUUUUCCCUGGUUCCUGGCCUGGGGCAAUUAGGGCAGUGCAUGGUGGACCUGAAUGUAAGAGCCUCAUAAGGGCAGUUGCUCAAGUGUGGACCCAAGAAGGAGUGUUGACUGGCUCCUACUCAGAGCUUCAAAAUUGGAAAAAAAAAAAAGGGUGGGGGGAUUCCCAUUGUGGCACAGUGGAAACGAAUCUAACAAAGAUCCAUGAGGAUGCAGGUUCGAUCCCUGGUCUCUCUCAGUGGGUUAAGGAUCAGGCAUUGCCGUGAACUGUUGUGUAGGUUGCAGACACGGCUCGGAUCUGGCGUUGCUGUGGCUGUGGCAUAGGCUGGCAGCUCCAAUUUAACUCCUAGCCUGGGGGAACUCCAUAUGCCACAGGUGCAGCCAUAGAAGAAGAAAAAAAAACCUAACUAACCUGUAUUUAAAUACAAUACCUUGGUAAAAAUAACUACCUGUCUAUCUUUGUUAAGCAAAAUGAAAUUAAUAUCCUGGGAAAAUAAUAUUCAACCAUAUUUCUUAGGUCUUGUGCUUAGUAUUAAUGCUUGGCUUUGGCUAUACUGACAUCAAUAACAAAUUUGAAUAGUUACUGCAAUGCCUUUAAUUACAAAUCUAUUAGGAGAUAGUGAUAUAUUACACUGAUGUGUUUAAUUUUCAGUAACCUUUUAAAACUCCAGAAGUUUCUUUUAAAAUAAUGAAUUUUCACUCCUGACCAUAAGUUGACUCAUAUAUUUGUGUAUCAUUUUAAACAGUUUCUAGACUCUUACUUCCUUCAUCCGAUAGAGAAAAUACCAUAUGCAAGGCUAUCUUUCAUAUCGAUAGCAUCUAUUUCAUGUUUAACCAAUCAAAAAAUAUUCAUACAGGAGUUCCUGUCAUGGUGCAGCAGAAACAAAUCCGACUAGGAGCCAUGAGGUUGUGGGUUCAAUCCCUGCCCUCGCUCAGUGGGUCAAGGAUCCAUUGUUGCCAUGAGCUGUGGUGUAGGUUGCAGUCGCAGCUUGGAUCUUGGUGUUGCUGUGGCAAAGGCCAGCAACUGCAGCUCCGACUAGACCCCUUGCCUGAGAAUUUCCAUGUGCCAGAGGUAUGCCCUAAAAAGACAAAAGAUUAAAAAAAAAAAUUCAUACUAAGUCCCAAUUUUCCCAUACCUUCUAUUUUUCUGUCACUAGCAAAUGCAAACAUAGUCACUUUCUGAUCUCAACAUCUGAAACAUAAUGGACCUUCAAGAGAACAUUCAAGAAAACAAAGUUAUUUUAUUGUGCAUUAUGCAUCCUCAUUUUGACUUUUUUUCAUUCUUAAUCAUUUGGGAUGCCUUGUACAAUUCCAUCUGCUGUGCAGAGCUGGCAUGGAACUCUCCUUGGAAUCAAUCUGUAUUCCUAUUAUGUCUUCUUCUUUUCAAUAGCAGAAAGAAGAGAAACCAUUUUCAUCUCUCCUAAUGCCAGACACCUGUUUCAACUGUCUGCUUUGGUUCAUAAAAUUCAGUCAUUUCCAGGAUUAUUAUAAACUUACCCUAGGAACAAUUCUGGCAAAAAAAACAAAAGCAAAAAAAACCCACCCUUUUAUUUGAAGCAUUUGCUUCUGGUUUCACCCUUGCACUAUUCACUUUCCCAUUGCUGCCAGCCCUUUUCUCUCAGUUUUCAUCCAUUUUCCCCCUAUUUUAACUACUAAGUUGCCUAUCUGUUAAAGAAUAAGAUUUCCUUGGUUUACAUGUGAUAUACUCCUUGUUCUGAUAAUUGUGAGAUUGAGCUGAAACGAUCUUUAGAGUGUGUCUAAGAAAACCUUAUACUACUUAGCAGUUUACAAAAAUUACAUCAGCCAAGUUAGCAAUAAUCUCACCUGUACUAAUAUGGUGCUUUUAUAUGAAUUUCUUACACAUACAUCAAUUUCCUUGACUUUUACACACAUUUUAACUAAGUAGAUCAGUGUCAUUUUUCCCAUUUCUUAGAUCAGGUCUAAGGCUGAAAGAGGUUAACAGAGCUGCUGAAAGGUCACUGGUUUUACUAUUAGUUUUCAUAAAAUCAUGCAUAAUUCUUCAAAAUCUUAAGAAAGCUGAAAUAACUAAUCCAAAUAAUUUCAAAAUAAUGUGAUGUUUUUUAAUAAAUGUCAGAAGAAAGGGUUAAAAUGGGAUAUUCAUAAUUCAAAUUGAUUCUUAAUAUUCCUCAGUCAAAAACUACAUGGAAAUUCUACUUUCCAGAUAUUUGCCAAUUGUCUUUAAUUUAUAGUAAAUACAUCCUUUGAUUUAGAGUAAAUAAAUUAUAAAUUAUAAUUCUAAAUCCGAGUUUCCAGUCCCCAAUUACUAAUCUUGUGUAAUUCUUUGAAAUUAAAGAGUGCAUAGUACUAUAAAAAAAUAAAAACGUUUCUAUUUAUUGUAAAUCUUACUACCUGUCAAUGAAUAUAAUUAUUGAUACAUUUUUACUUCUACAUCUUUUAUGAAGCUCUAACAUUUAUAUA